UUUUGGGUUGGGCUUUCCCGUUUGGUUUAUAACAUUGGUGCUUUCAUUGAGAUCCAUGACCAACGAGGAGCUUGUGACUCGGAGUGGUGGCCUGGACCCGAGGACCCAGGAGGGGUGCCAGCUGUGACUAACGAGGUCGUUGGUUCUCAAGCGGAGAUCGUUGAUUCUCAAGCGGAGACAUUGGAAAAAAAAAGAAAUGCUAAGGGGUUUAUACGCCAAAUGGGUUCUCCCACCUGUUAAAUUAGUGUUGGGCUGGAAAUGAAAAAUGAAAUCUUUAAAACUAUGAUAUGCCAACAACAACAUUGAAGGACUACAAAAGGAAACUAAAAUGAUAAAAUUAGUCCUUUUUAGUUGGUGCUUGGUUUCUCAAUUAUUUGGCAGCACUAGUAAAGAAACAAUAUCAAAAUGAGCUUUAGUAGAAGCAAAUGAAUGGAAGUAAGUUUUUGGCACAUCUAUACUAAAUUAAACAUAUUUAGUUUAGCUAGCUAUUGCUACUAAACAGUUAAUUGGUUAAGGAGUUGCCUUUUACGGGAGCUUGUGACUCGGAGUGGUGGACUGGACCCGAGGGGCGCCAGGUGUGACCAACGAGGAACAAACCACGUGUGGAGCCGCGUCUCGGAGUGGUGGCCUGUGUGUCAGUAGUGGUGGCCUGGACCAGGAGGGGUGCCAGCUGUUACUAACGAGGUCGUUGGUUCUCAAGGGAAGACAUUGAAAAAAAAGAGAAAUGCUAAGGGGUUUAUACGCCAAAUGGGUUCUCCCACCUAUUAGAUUAGUCUUUUGGGUUGGGCUGGAAAUGAAAAAUGAAAUCU
Molecule: long non-coding RNA, 809 nt
Filed under: Capsicum annuum
Lineage: Eukaryota; Viridiplantae; Streptophyta; Magnoliopsida; Solanales; Solanaceae
Description: long non-coding RNA (CANN_LNC019092)
Source: RNAcentral